UACACACGUGCGUACGUGAGUCCCUAUUGAUUAACUGUUAUGUCCUUCAAGCAUGAAUUAAUUAACAUCUUUUGGUUAUUAUAUGCCACCCCGGAAUAUUCAAUAUAAGCUCAGCUUCUACAAUUGAUUCGUCAGUAAUUAAAUCCGAGUUUGCCUACAGUGGAUUUGGCAGGGACCAGGCCUUCCGCGAUGAGACUAUGGUUGAGAUUAAACAAAAUUAUCUCUAAGUAAAGCAUGAAAGUGCCUGGAAUAUAAAAGGCAAAGUAGAAUAAAAAGUAGCUGCUCUCCUGCUGAUGGUGAUUUCUAUGGCGAUGGUGACAAGGACGUUGACUCUCUACUUGGGAUUCAAGAAGCCUGGUCACAUCUGGAAAGGUUGACAAUCUAGGAAGGGAAGAGGAGUUCAUGCUUCAUGUGGUACACCUCCAACUCUCCUCUGAAGGAAAGAAGUAAAUUGUUAUAACAAAGAACACCAGCGAAGUCUUGUCAACAUCACUUUCUGAUGGCAAAGCCCGGUAAAGUUGAAUACAUGCCUCUAUCUCUGCCUCCUGCCUCCAUCAUGAUCAGAGGCUUGUGUCCUGUCAUUUGGAUUUGCAGAACAUAUUACUGUAUCUGAUGUACACAAAUCUUCACAAACCAGAUUGCUGCUAUGAGACUGUCGAUUAAAAACAAUAAUAAACUACAUUUCCCAAGAUCCUUUGCCAACUGGCUCGCCAUGAGAUUCAGCCAACGGUAGGUACUAACGGAUGAUUUGAAGUCUGGAGAAGGGCCAUCUUAUGGGAGCAUGUUUCCUUCCCUCUCUGCCUCAGCUUGUGUCAUCUGGAGAAGAGCUCGUCUGUCCUCUAGUAUGUCCCAGGGCUUGCUCCAAUCACGUUGAAGUCCAGCUUCCACUAGCUGGCCCUUGCUCCCAGUUUCCAACAACACUGUCUGCUCUUCUGCUUCCUCCAUUUUGGGGUGCAGUAGUUUCCUGUUUGGGUCAUUGCUAAGACCCUAUUUGCUUUCUCUGGUUUUCCAUCACCAUAUGACCAAUUUUCUGCAUUAAAUUUAUUCUGUUCCAAGUAUUUAGAUUGGUUUCUUUCUUCUGACGAGACCCAGGCACAUACAGUGGUCAUUUUUGUCAUAUUCUAUGGCCACCAUAGAGAUUGUGUCAUCGCCACUUUCUUCUAAAUUUAUGAAGCAAGAACGUAUUCCAUAUGUGCACUGAUUAUUUUAAGUCUACCACUUACUGAGCAGCCACUGUGCACCAGGUAUUGUAAUGGAUGCCAUCCAGCCUAUUUCUCUUCAGCCUCACUGCAAGACACAG
This 1300-nucleotide long non-coding RNA is filed under the name Homo sapiens (human). RNAcentral describes it as "HSALNT0039257". Lineage: Eukaryota; Metazoa; Chordata; Mammalia; Primates; Hominidae. The record is from RNAcentral.